Myotis brandtii (Brandt's bat) is the source of this 75-nucleotide non-coding RNA. NCBI's taxonomy places the organism in Eukaryota, Metazoa, Chordata, Mammalia, Chiroptera, Vespertilionidae. The record is from Rfam.
CUGGAGGUGGGGGGGGUUCCUCAGCCUGGAUUGUGAGAGGGUGCAGGCCAGGCCAAGGGACCCCACCGGUGCAUG